Molecule: ribosomal RNA, 253 nt
Filed under: uncultured bacterium
Lineage: Bacteria
Description: partial 16S ribosomal RNA
Rfam family: Bacterial small subunit ribosomal RNA
Source: RNAcentral
UACGUAGGGUGCGAGCGUUAAUCGGAAUUACUGGGCGUAAAGCGUGCGCAGGCGGUUUUGUAAGCCCGAUGUGAAAUCCCCGGGCUUAACCUGGGAAUGGCAUUUGGGACUGCAAGGCUGGAGUUUGGCAGAGGAGACUGGAAUUCCUGGUGUAGCAGUGAAAUGCGUAGAUAUCAGGAGGAACACCGAUGGCGAAGGCAGGUCUCUGGGCUGAAACUGACGCUUAUGCACGAAAGCGUGGGGAGCAAACAGG